Molecule: ribosomal RNA, 498 nt
Filed under: uncultured bacterium
Lineage: Bacteria
Description: bacterial SSU rRNA
Rfam family: Bacterial small subunit ribosomal RNA
Source: RNAcentral
ACUCAAAGGAAUAGACGGGGGCCCGCACAAGCGGAGGAGCAUGUGGUUUAAUUCGAUGAUACGCGAGGAACCUUACCUGGGCUAGAACCGGCGCUGAAUGUAUGUGAAAGCAUACAGUCCUACGGGACGGCGUUGGAGGUGCUGCAUGGUUGUCGUCAGCUCGUGCCGUGAGGUGUCGGAUUAAGUUCCAUAACGAGCGCAACCCCUACUGUUAGUUGCCAGCAAGUAAUGUUGGGGACUCUAGCAGGACUGCCGGCGCAAGCCGAGAGGAAGGUGGGGAUGACGUCAAAUCAGCACGGCCCUUAUGUCCAGGGCUACACACGUGCUACAAUGGUCGGUACAGAGGGCAGCUACUAUGUGAAUAGAUGCGAAUCUCGAAAACCGGUCUCAGUUCGGAUCGAAGUCUGCAACUCGACUUCGUGAAGUUGGAUUCGCUAGUAAUCGCGCAUCAGCCAUGGCGCGGUGAAUACGUUCCCGGGCCUUGUACACACCGCCCGU